GACGAACGCUGGCGGCGUGCUUAACACAUGCAAGUCGAACGGAAAGGCCCUGCUUUUGCGGGGUUCUCGAGUGGCGAACGGGUGAGUAACACGUGAGUAACCUGCCCUUGACUUUGGGAUAACUUCAGGAAACUGGGGCUAAUACCGUAUAGGAGCUCCUGCUGCAUGGUGGGGGUUGGAAAGUUUCGGCGGUUGGGGAUGGACUCGCGGCUUAUCAGCUUGUUGGUGGGGUAGUUGCUUACCAAGGCUUUGACGGGUAGCCGGCCUGAGAGGGUGACCGGCCACAUGGGGACUGAGGUACGGCCCAGACUCGUACGGGAGGCAGCAGUGGGGAAUAUUGCACAAUGGGCGGAAGCCUGAUGAAGCAACGCCGCGUGCGGGAUGACGGCCUUCGGGUUGUAAAACGCUUUAGCCUGUGACGAAGCGUGAGUGACGGUAAUGGGUAAAGAAGCACCGGCUAACUACGUG
RNAcentral lists this ribosomal RNA (468 nucleotides) under uncultured bacterium. RNAcentral describes it as "partial 16S ribosomal RNA". It matches the Rfam family "Bacterial small subunit ribosomal RNA", at positions 28 to 507 of the family's 1533-position model. The record is from RNAcentral.